GUAUUUUGAAUUGUUUAUUCAUAAUAUUUUUCAGACAAAGAGUUAAAAGAUAAAGGUUGAUGUUUGGGGCUGAUCAAAAGAGACCAACCCUGACAUUGCACACAAGGUGGAUAUGGAUUUAAAAAAGUGCCAUAAAACACUUAUUAUGAAUGAUCCUUCCGCAGGUUCACCUACGGAAA
RNAcentral lists this unclassified non-coding RNA (179 nucleotides) under uncultured fungus. Its description in RNAcentral is "sequence contains ITS1". The record is from RNAcentral. Lineage: Eukaryota; Fungi.